This 499-nucleotide long non-coding RNA is filed under the name Homo sapiens (human). RNAcentral's name for it is "non-protein coding lnc-PLSCR1-1:1". Lineage: Eukaryota; Metazoa; Chordata; Mammalia; Primates; Hominidae. The record is from RNAcentral.
UGAGAGACUCUGGAUUGUGGGCCGAAUGGAGAAUGAAGCCUUUUCAAAUUCACCUCCCAGGAUACCUGGAUUCACUUUAUAGCUCUUCCAUGUAUAAAUCUAAUGGAUAACACAACAUCUCUGAGGCUCAUAUUUUGAUCCAUAAAACUGGGAUCAGAGUUGACCUACAAAUGAUCUGCAAGUUUCUACAGUGAACCCACUAGGAAACACUUCUAGAGAUAAGAGUGUUUCAUAAGUAUGAGACCUCAUGAUGGAAAGUCUGAAUUUUCUUUCAAAAUUAAGAAACCUAUAUAUUUGGGUGAAGCAUAAUGCAAAAUCAUAUUCCUUCUAAGACUUCAGGAGAACUUUCCAACUAAUAUAAUUGUGUGAUUAUUACUAUUCUUUGAAGAUCUGUGAUUUAGAAAGUAUUUAAACCAUGAGUGUUUAAAAACUGUUUGUAUUUUAGGUUCACUGACAGCAAUAUAUUACUUUAUCAAAUUAAAUAGACUUAAGAAUAAUA